Molecule: ribosomal RNA, 253 nt
Filed under: uncultured bacterium
Lineage: Bacteria
Description: partial 16S ribosomal RNA
Rfam family: Bacterial small subunit ribosomal RNA
Source: RNAcentral
GACGGAGGGGGCUAGCGUUGUUCGGAAUCACUGGGCGUAAAGCGCGCGUAGGUGGAUGUGCAAGUCAGAGGUGAAAUCCCGGGGCUUAACCCCGGAACUGCCUUUGAAACUGCACAUCUGGAGUGUCGGAGGGGAUAGUGGAAUUCCUAGUGUAGAGGUGAAAUUCGUAGAGACUAGGAGGAACACCAGUGGCGAAGGCGACUAUCUGGACGACAACUGACACUGAGGUGCGAAAGCGUGGGGAGCAAACAGG